GAAGUGGGGGUGGCCGGGAUAGAAGCCGCAGCCCAGGCGGCGGUCCCUCCCGCUGUCGCCGCCCGGGUGUAGCGCAUCACCCGGAGCCCACCGGCCGCAGGUGCCUCCUCCGGCCCCAGGGGGCCCCGGGAGCCCUGAAGGGCGAAGCGGCAGGGACGCCUCUCUUGGGCGAAGAGGCGGCCUCACCGCCCCGGAUGCGGCCGGAGGGCGCGGGAAUGGAGCUCGGAGGCGGCGAGGAGCGCCUGCCUGAGGAGAGCAGGCGUGCCGCCGCCAGACGGAUUACUGGCAGUUCGUGAAAGACAUCCGGUGGCUCAGUCCCCACUCAGCCCUUCACGUGGAGAAGUUCAUCAGCGUGCACGAGAACGACCAGAGCAGUGCUGAUGGUGCCAGUGAACGUGCUGUUGCCGAGCUGUGGCUGCAGCACAGCCUGCAGUACCACUGCCUCUCAGCCCAGCUCCGGCCCCUGCUCGGGGAUAGACAGUAUAUCAGAAAAUUCUACACAGAUGCUGCCUUCCUGCUAAGUGACGCUCAUGUCACGGCCAUGCUGCAGUGCCUGGAAGCAGUGGAACAGAACAACCCCCGCCUCCUGGCUCAGAUCGAUGCGUCCAUGUUUGC
RNAcentral lists this long non-coding RNA (615 nucleotides) under Homo sapiens (human). RNAcentral's name for it is "non-protein coding lnc-BDH1-8:1". Lineage: Eukaryota; Metazoa; Chordata; Mammalia; Primates; Hominidae. The record is from RNAcentral.